GUAUGUCACGAGCGUUACCCGGAUUUAUUGGGCGUAAAGCGCGUCUAGGUGGUUAUAUAAGUCUGAUGUGAAAAUGCAGGGCUCAACUCUGUAUUGCGUUGGAAACUGUAUAACUAGAGUACUGGAGAGGUAAGCGGAACUACAAGUGUAGAGGUGAAAUUCGUAGAUAUUUGUAGGAAUGCCGAUGGGGAAGCCAGCUUACUGGACAGAUACUGACGCUGAAGCGCGAAAGCGUGGGUAGCAAACAGGAUUAGAUACCCUGGUAGUCCACGCUGUAAACGAUGAUUACUAGGUGUUGGGGGUCGAACCUCAGCGCCCAAGCAAACGCGAUAAGUAAUCCGCCUGGGGAGUACGUACGCAAGUAUGAAACUCAAAGGAAUUGACGG
RNAcentral lists this ribosomal RNA (386 nucleotides) under uncultured bacterium. RNAcentral describes it as "bacterial SSU rRNA". It matches the Rfam family "Bacterial small subunit ribosomal RNA", at positions 527 to 916 of the family's 1533-position model. The record is from RNAcentral.